AAAAUUCCUAGGUAGAAAUUAUGAUUAAUGACCAUUGUCUGCCCUAUGUGUCUUGACCAAAAUUACGUGCCCAGCAGUCGCGGUAAUAACGUAGAAGACUAGUGUUAUUCAUGUUUAAUCGGUUUAAAGGGUACCUAGACGGUGAAUCAAGCUUUAGAAUAAAGAAGAAAAGGAACUAAUUCGCUAGAGUUACUUACGAGGGGGUAGUAAAGUACUGCUGGUGUAGAGAUGAAAUUCUGUCAUACCUCUUUUCGAAAGAAAAAUUAUGGCACAGGUAUAGGCGAAGGCAUCCCCUUAUGUGAUAACUGACGUUGAGGGACGAAGGCUUCGUGGAACAAACAGGAUUAGAUACCCUAGUAGUUGAAGCAGAAAAUGAUGAAUGUCAUAGAUUAGACGUCUAAGUUUAUUCUAUAAAUGAAAGUGUAAGCAUUCCACCUCAUGAGUAAUUUGGCAACAUUGGAAUUGAAAUCAUUAGACCGUUUCUGAAACCAGUAGUGAAGUAUGUUGUUUAAUUUGAUAAUACGCAAAAAACCUUACCACAAUUUGAAUAUUUAUAUUGUUUAUUGUUAUCUUAUUAAUUUUCUUAAAAAAACUAAUUAUAGCAAAAGCAUUUUAAAACAGGAAAAGAAAAUUAAUCAAGAGGCAAUAACAUAUAUCUACAAGCGUUGCACGGCUGUCUUCAGUUAAUGUCGCGAGACUUGGUUAGUUCCAUUCAAUUAAGGUAAA
This 726-nucleotide ribosomal RNA is filed under the name Parmotrema pseudotinctorum. RNAcentral's name for it is "SSU rRNA". It matches the Rfam family "Bacterial small subunit ribosomal RNA", at positions 427 to 1102 of the family's 1533-position model. The record is from RNAcentral. Lineage: Eukaryota; Fungi; Ascomycota; Lecanoromycetes; Lecanorales; Parmeliaceae.